AGUGAACGCUGGCGGUAGGCCUAACACAUGCCAGUCGAACGGCAGCACAGUAAGAGCUUGCUCUUACGGGUGGCGAGAGGCGGACGGGUGAGGAAUACAUCGGAAUCUACUUUUUCGUGGGGGAUAACGUAGGGAAACUUACGCUAAUACCGCAUACGACCUACGGGUGAAAGCAGGGGAUCUUCGGACCUUGCGCGAUUGAAUGAGCCGAUGUCGGAUUAGCUAGUUGGCGGGGUAAAGGCCCACCAAGGCGACGAUCCGUAGCUGGUCUGAGAGGAUGAUCAGCCACACUGGAACUGAGACACGGUCCAGACUCCUACGGGAGGCAGCAGUGGGGAAUAUUGGACAAUGGGCGCAAGCCUGAUCCAGCCAUACCGCGUGGGUGAAGAAGGCCUUCGGGUUGUAAAGCCCUUUUGUUGGGAAAGAAAAGCAGCAGGUUAAUACCCCGCUGUUCUGACGGUACCCAAAGAAUAAGCACCGGCUAACUUCGUG
This 492-nucleotide ribosomal RNA is filed under the name uncultured bacterium. RNAcentral's name for it is "partial 16S ribosomal RNA". It matches the Rfam family "Bacterial small subunit ribosomal RNA", at positions 29 to 507 of the family's 1533-position model. The record is from RNAcentral.